Molecule: ribosomal RNA, 254 nt
Filed under: uncultured bacterium
Lineage: Bacteria
Description: partial 16S ribosomal RNA
Rfam family: Bacterial small subunit ribosomal RNA
Source: RNAcentral
UACGUAGGGUGCGAGCGUUAAUCGGAAUUACUGGGCGUAAAGCGUGCGCAGGCGGCGCGUUAAGACAGGUGUGAAAGCCCCCGAGCUUAACUUGGGAAUUGCGCUUGUGACUGGCGUGCUGGAGUGUGGCAGAGGGAGGUGGAAUUCCACGUGUAGCAGUGAAAUGCGUAGAUAUCGGAAGGAACAUCAGUGGCGAAAGCGACUUCCUGGACCAGUACCGACGUUCAGGCACGAAAGCGUGGGGAGCAAACAGG